AUCCAGCUGACGAAUCCCAAAUAGAAAGAAACAUGCAUCCUGGAU
This 45-nucleotide non-coding RNA is filed under the name Schistosoma mattheei. The record is from RNAcentral. Lineage: Eukaryota; Metazoa; Platyhelminthes; Trematoda; Strigeidida; Schistosomatidae.